Molecule: long non-coding RNA, 210 nt
Filed under: Lathyrus oleraceus (garden pea)
Lineage: Eukaryota; Viridiplantae; Streptophyta; Magnoliopsida; Fabales; Fabaceae
Description: Pisum sativum (pea) long non-coding RNA (PSAT_LNC005286)
Source: RNAcentral
AAUUAAACAUGGCAAUCGAUUCAGCAAGGCAUAAACAUCACAAAUCCAUAAGCAAAACUCAUUGAAACACGUUGGAUAGCAUGCAUCGAGCACAAAUGUCAUUGAACACAAAACUUUAUUUUCAAAUAUCUCAUGCAAUAUUUCAUCAUUUCAAACAAACUAUAGCUCCUUAGAAUCAGUGAAGCAAAGCCUACUUAAAGCAUAUCAUUA